This is a long non-coding RNA of Portunus trituberculatus (swimming crab), 3780 nucleotides long. RefSeq lists it as uncharacterized. Lineage: Eukaryota; Metazoa; Arthropoda; Malacostraca; Decapoda; Portunidae. The transcript is spliced from 2 exons. The record is from RefSeq and is a predicted model, not a curated record.
GUGUGUGGUGUGUGCCUGGUCUCAGGCCUAUCCGAAGAUCGGAAAUAAUGAGCUCUGAGCUCGUUCCGUAAGGUAACGUCUGGCUGUCUCGUCAGAGACUGCAGCAGAUCAAACAGUGAAACACGUUAUGCAAUCUAAUGAUUGAAACAACGAUGGUUUGUGUGUGUGUGUGUUUACAAGGAAUAUACAAGGAAUCCUUGGUGUUUUAUGUCCUGGGCUAUAACGCCUGUAGGUAACUUAAACAGUAUUGGAAGUGCUGUUAAGCUUCCACCCAUUAGUGGCGCAGGCAAUUUCAUUUAUAGUGGUAUCCAUGUUAGGGCCCAUAUCACCACCCAAGCGUAUUUUUGGUGUAACCUCCUAGAACCUGGGUAUCAUGGUGACAAUCCCCUAUGUAGGGGGACCUCCCUACAACCCCUCAAUAACAACAACAAAGGGUGAGAUCAAGGAGGUUAUGUUGAUGGAGAUGCCGCCCGCCUAUCCAGCUGUACUUAAAAAGUAAAGCUAUAUAGUGGGCAGAGCUUACGAUCGUAACUUACACCCAAAACAUUGCCCUCUCCCGUGUUAAGUAAUGGGAAAUUACCGCUUUCUUUUUCAUUACUAGAGGAAAACUAAGAACUGAAGGUUUAACUUAUGUAAACCACAUUAUAAUUUCCUAAAUAAGUCGUGUAAACCUGUUAUUAACGAUGUUAGUCCAAUAUAGCUGUAAUAUUGAAAGAAAUACAGCAGGACGUUUCCGGGAGAAAUUAUGGCAAAAAGGUUACUUUUUCUCGUUUAAUGCAUGACAAGGAAUAAAUAGUGAAGUGAAAUUUCAGUGCAAUGAUGAUUGAUGCUUUUCCACCGUAGAGUGACAUGAAAGCUAUAAAGAGAGAGAGAGAGAGAGAGAAUUUUGACGUGUUAUGUAAUUGUUAUACCAAGAAAAAUCAACCUUCAGCCCGUUUCACCUAAUAUACAUUUUACUUAUCCUUCAUUUAAAUACACAUGUAUAUAUAUAUGUCUAAAUCUAUACAUGCACAUGUGUACAUGACCUUGUUCAGUCAUACGUUUGUUCCUAAGACAGCUUCCCACCUCUCAUCUAAGUCCACCAAAGCUGGAAAACACUAUAUUUUCUCAUUUGUAUGGAUGAUUUACCGUCUAAAACUUCGUGGCACAGUAUGCUACGACUAUUGCGAGUCUUUUAAGGUCACAUAUAUGGUAGGCAGCUUCCAAACAUGGACAUAAGACUGAAAAUAAGGAGCAUAAUUUAGGCGUUCCCAUGUAUUUUCAAUUGGCCAUUGGCAAUGUUUUGGGUGUAGGGGGUAGGGGCAGCAGCGGACCAAUAACGCGCUGGGUUAACUUUUGCGAUGUCAUGCCGCUGCCUUGUAAUAACCUCCUUAGACGAGAUCUAUUUACGUAUAGCGAUUACUAGUUGGCUGUAAUCGACCAAUCGGGUGAAGACUUACAAACUAAAGGCAAGCGGACGUUUUAUAAUCCGAAAAAUUCGGUUUUACAAUUUUUCUCGGAAUGUAUCAUGCCAAGAAGAAUAUUUGCAAAAUAUUUGUAAAAAUGUGUGAGUUUUUAGAGACGAUGCAUGUGAGAUUGAGAUGGAGAUAAAGUGCACAAGAAAAUGCCCGUGGAUACGUCCCUCGCUAAGUAGAAGGAAAGAAAGGAGUGUCUACCACACACUAAUCUUUAGAAGACUAUGCACAAUUACAAUCAAAUUAAAUCCUGAGAAGUCUUCAAUUCUCACCUCUAACAACACCCUGCAUUGAGGGAAAAUUCUUGGAGAGUGGCAGCUAUUUCGUCGAAAGUCGAUUUGCGCAAGCUUUUUUCUACCUCACCAACUUUAACAUCUCUACACCGGGAGACCACAUUUUCAAAGCUUACUCCGUGAUGUCACAACGUGAAUAGAGUCUCAUAUCGACUGAACAAGACCAACAUGUUGGUCCUGUUUUGCGACUGAUUUCUCCAAUUGCUAAGGACCGAUAUUCAUUCGGAAACUCUACCGACUUGCAAUUUCAGUAGCAAAUUGGCACGUGUGAACCCGCCUUAAGUCCCACGCCUAUGCGUGAGAUAGUGAGAGUCAUUACGUUUCAUACAUUAGAUUUCAUAACGUGACCUGCCACCAGCAGCAGGUGUGUGUGUGUGUGUUAGAGAGAAGGGGAUGAAAGGGUGAGCUCAUGUAAGCUACCAGUUAAUUAGAAAAAAAGUGGGUGGAUCUUAUUUUAGGAGACUUGUCACCUUACCGUAAAAGUAGUAUAUUGUUAUUUCUACUAUAGUUUUACCAUUACUAUUCGUACUACUUCUGCAUACAGCCUCUUGUCGCACGAAAUAUUAUGGCAAGUGCAUCGUCCACAGUGGAAUGGGAACGGACUGGAUGGCCUUGAGAAGCGGUGGCUGGCGAGGAAUUUUAUAAGCAGUAACAAUAAUGAUUUAGCAGGUAAGGUGAUGGAAAUGUUAAAAUUACUUGCCUUAUUGUUCUUUUCUUUUUUAUAUUGAGUUGCAAUGAGUAACACUGAGCUGUAGGAGGAAGCAAUCUUAUGUUAAAUUCUCUGUGAACAUCUGCAUCACAGCCACAAGUCAGGCGGAUAUAAAGAUAUCCAUCCCCUGCCCGGUUUUAGUAAGGAUCUGUCAGCCUCACCAUGAAGUUUCUCACAGUUCUCACUCUCUGCUUCGCUCUCCUCAUCCUCCUGUUCUCCUCUGAAACAGCAGAUGGCUCUCCCGUCAGAAUUGUUAACAUUGUGAAACCACCGUGUCGCCGUUGCUACGUGUACUAUAACAGGAGGUGCAACUUCGACCCCUUCCAGUGUUCCUACGCCGACGCCUCGCCAAAUUCGCCUUACAGACUAACUUGAUCGCCGCCCCGAGAGAGAUUUGGACAUCCAUCAUCACUCGCACUUCCAGAGACACCUGUGCAGUGCAAGACAGAGAGGGUGAGGAUGGAGAUACUGUAAUAUUCAAAAGGACAACUGAUUUAGAAUUUACUUUUGUGCGAAAGGUGUAGGUAGUGCACACAGCUUUAGACAUUGGAAUGUAUGUCACUAUAUACACAGAUUUUAUGACGAUAUUGUGAGCACCUUUGUGUGCAUCAAUUAAUUAAAUUUCCCAUACAUGUAUUUCAAAAUGUUUUGAAAUAGCUAGGAGUAACAGUUAGUUCAAACUUCUCCCUAGACUCUUGUCAGGAUGCUUUUAUUAAGUUCCCCCAUAGACUUUUGUGAUGCAAGUUGUUGAAAUUUCCCCUAGACUGUCAAGCAACUUUUUCAGAAAAAUUUUAAUAUUCUAAGUUGAAAGUUUCCCCUAGACUUUUGUAAUGAAAAUUGUUAAGUUGAAAGUUUCCCCUAGACUUUUGUAAUGAAAAUUGUUUUGUAAUGAAAAUUGUUAAGUUGAAAGUUUCCCCUAGACUUUUGUAAUGAAAAUUGUUAAGUUGAAAGUUUCCCCUAGACUUUUGUAAUGAAAAUUGUUAAGUUGAAAGUUUCCCCUAGACUUUUGUAAUUAAAAUUGUUAAGUUGAAAGUUUCCCCUAGACUUUUGUAAUGAAAACUUUUGUAAUGAAAAUUGUUAAGUUGAAAGUUUCCCUUAAUGAAAAUUGUUAAGUUGAAAGUUUCCCCUAGACUUUUGUAAUUAAAAUUGUUAAGUUGAAAGUUUCCCCUAGACUUUUGUAAUUAAAAUUGUUAAGUUGAAAGUUUCCCCUAGACUUUUGUAAUGAAAAUUGUUAAGUUGAAAGUUUCCCCUAGACUUGAAAGUUCCAAAAAACUAAGACUUGUAAUAAAAAUUGUUGAUUGAAUAAAAAGUGAAGGAAGGGCGA